This 319-nucleotide ribosomal RNA is filed under the name uncultured soil bacterium. RNAcentral describes it as "bacterial SSU rRNA". It matches the Rfam family "Bacterial small subunit ribosomal RNA", at positions 26 to 337 of the family's 1533-position model. The record is from RNAcentral.
AGAGUGAACGCUGGCGGUAGGCCUAACACAUGCAAGUCGAACGGCAGCACAGUAGGAGCUUGCUCUUACGGGUGGCGAGUGGCGGACGGGUGAGGAAUACAUCGGAAUCUACCUUUUGGUGGGGGAUAACGUAGGGAAACUUACGCUAAUACCGCAUACGCCCUUCGGGGGAAAGCCGGGGACCAGCAAUGGCCUGGCGCUGAUAGAUGAGCCGAUGUCGGAUUAGCUAGUUGGUGAGGUAAUGGCUCACCAAGGCGACGAUCCGUAGCUGGUCUGAGAGGAUGAUCAGCCACACUGGAACUGAGACACGGUCCAGACU